RNAcentral lists this ribosomal RNA (244 nucleotides) under uncultured bacterium. Its description in RNAcentral is "partial 16S ribosomal RNA". It matches the Rfam family "Bacterial small subunit ribosomal RNA", at positions 533 to 776 of the family's 1533-position model. The record is from RNAcentral.
GGCAAGCGUUAUUCGGAAUUAUUGGGCGUAAAGGGUGCGUAGGCGGCUAGAUGUGUCAAAGGUGAAAUCCCUCGGCUCAACUGAGGAACUGCCUUUGAAACUGUCUGGCUUGAGGCCGGGAGAGGGUAGCGGAAUUCCCAGUGUAGCGGUGAAAUGCGUAGAUAUUGGGAGGAACACCAGUGGCGAAGGCGGCUACCUGGACCGGUUCUGACGCUGAGGCGCGAAAGCGUGGGUAGCAAACAGG